UUAAUUUGUUAAGCUGAUCAUUUAAAUCUGGUAUUGAAUCAGUAUCAGAAUUAUCUGAUUGAUAACUGCUUUCAACAUCAGUUUUAACUUGAUCAAUCGCGGCAAUAGUACCACUUGUACCAGGUUCAUUUUUAAGUUUUUUGAAUAACUUAUCAAUGGAUUUAACUAAAUUAUCAUCAUCAGAUGGUAAUCCUAACUUGUGUCUAUUUUCUGGUAACUUUAUUAAAGGAUGUUCAAUUUUUAAAUC
This 247-nucleotide long non-coding RNA is filed under the name Panax ginseng (ginseng). Its description in RNAcentral is "long non-coding RNA (PGIN_LNC003353)". The record is from RNAcentral. Lineage: Eukaryota; Viridiplantae; Streptophyta; Magnoliopsida; Apiales; Araliaceae.